UAGGGAAUCUUCCGCAAUGGACGCAAGUCUGACGGAGCAACGCCGCGUGAGUGAUGAAGGUUCUCGGAUCGUAAAGCUCUGUUGCCAGGGAAGAACGGCCAGGGGAGUAACUGCCCUUGGCAUGACGGUACCUGAGAAGAAAGCCCCGGCUAACUACGUGCCAGCAGCCGCGGUAAUACGUAGGGGGCAAGCGUUGUCCGGAAUUAUUGGGCGUAAAGCGCGCGCAGGCGGCUGUUUAAGUUUGGUGUUUAAGCCUGGGGCUCAACCCCGGAUCGCACUGAAAACUGGACGGCUUGAGUGUAGGAGAGGAAAGUGGAAUUCCACGUGUAGCGGUGAAAUGCGUAGAGAUGUGGAGGAACACCAGUGGCGAAGGCGACUUUCUGGCCUAUAACUGACGCUGAGGCGCGAAAGCGUGGGGAGCAAACA
This 426-nucleotide ribosomal RNA is filed under the name uncultured Paenibacillus sp. Its description in RNAcentral is "bacterial SSU rRNA". It matches the Rfam family "Bacterial small subunit ribosomal RNA", at positions 355 to 774 of the family's 1533-position model. Lineage: Bacteria; Bacillati; Bacillota; Bacilli; Caryophanales; Paenibacillaceae. The record is from RNAcentral.